RNA transcript from Tympanuchus pallidicinctus (lesser prairie-chicken), 2995 nucleotides. It is a transcript of the gene named KIAA1614 ortholog, with no coding region annotated. The record is from RefSeq and is a predicted model, not a curated record. The transcript is spliced from 11 exons. Lineage: Eukaryota; Metazoa; Chordata; Aves; Galliformes; Phasianidae.
AGCGGCGGAGCUCCGGCGGGGCUGGAGUGGCUGGGAUUUGCUGCUUUUUUUUUAAUUUCCUCCCUAUGCUUCCUUCCCCUCUUCCGCUUUCUUCUCCCUCCAUCCCGGCCCUCUCCCGAUGCUCGGGCACAUUGCGGGCUCCCUGGGAGGGGAUGAGAGGCUGCUGGGCCGCGCGGGGCACGGUGGGCUUUAUCGGUGCCGUCGGGAAGACGCUUCCAUGCAGGGGCACAUGGAGGGGCCCCGUCCCGCAGAGCCCCCCCGGGGCCCCCACGCCGUGCUGGAGGGCAAAGUGAAGGCGCUGAAGGAGAAGCGUGGAGCCGAGCGGCCCUCGCCCAAGAAGGCCCGUGCCCGCAAGGGGAAGGCUGGAGCUGAGGAACAGCGGGUGCAGCUCCGCACGUACCUGACUGAUGGGCUGCUGGAUGGCACUGCAUCGUGGGGGGAGCGGGGGGGGCUGGGGGGCUCUCCCCCUCUGGUCUCUGCUGGCAAGGAGGUGACGGAGGGCCCGGAGCCACUGUCCUUGGCUGAGAGGGUGGAGAGGAACCGGCAGCUGCUGCACGAGGUGCUGGGGAUGCACGAGGUGCCAGCAAGUGAUGGCGACUGGGACUCAGGGGUCUCACUGCAGGAUGCUGAGGGAUGCAGGGCCUUUGUUCCCGGGCAGGAGCUCGAGCUGAGCCCACGCCAUGAGCAGGCCAAGCAGCUGCUGCAGCGCGCCCGCAUGAAGGCUCGCACCAACCCGCUGCGUGCCAGCCACGACCUCCUGCUGCUGCCCACCGCCGCGCACCCCAGGGAGCCCAGCGGGACACCGAGGCCCAGCGUCACCACAAGAGAGGUGGAGGGCCCGGCGGGCGGCAGUCUGAGCGACUCAUCCAGCGGGGAGUCGGGCUGCAGGGAGCCCCGGCGGCCACGGGGAGCCUCCCCGUCCCGCGUGCGCUUUGAGGACGAGUCGGCCCGCGACGCUGAGGUGCGCUACCUGGAGCGGCUGCGGCACCGCCGGGUGCUGGGCUCAGCACUGGAGCGCAGCGGUGGAGAGCCCCGUGGGCACCCCGGGGAUGGCCCUGCCAAAUCCCGUGGUGGUGAUGUCCCUGCUGGGGGCAAGUGCCAGGCCUGCGGCUCCCUGCUCGGUGCCGCCGUGCCGGCUGAAGGCAGCCCCAUGGCACGGGGACGGGAGCGCACGGGUCCUGGUGCUGCUGCCCAGCCUGAACCCAAGGCCCGGCCGCUGGGUCCUGGGGGGUCCCCGCUCUGGAUCCUGCCUUCCCGGCAGCGCAUUCACACUGAGAAGAUCAAGGAGACUUAUAUCGGGAACGUCGCCCGUGGGGAUGAGGCGGACUCGGCACUGGAGAGCACCGACACCUCCGAUGGCUGCCGCACCGACAGCGAGGAGCCGCGGCCCCGCAGCCCCCACCCACGGGGGCAUCGGGAGCCCCGGGCUCGUGGCCACCGCAGCCCCCGCACCCCAACGCAAAAGGAGAAGGGCACGAGUGUGGCCGGGGGCUCGGGGACGCUUUGUCCCCCACCAGCGGGUACAGCUGGCAGCCAGGAUGGGGGACACACCGGUGAGAUGGCGGGCAAAGGAGAGCCACUGGUCCCCUCCUCGAGGCCAGCGGGGCCUUCCCACACCCCCUCCAUCAUCACCACUACAAAGGCCUGCUCCCAGGUGCCUUGCAGGACAAGUGUCCCUGCUAGCAGCCACCAGUGUCCAGAGCCUGAUGCUGGGAGCACUUUGCCCCAACCCAAGGGUGCGGGGCAGCGGCGGGGGCCCUGUGGCCCUGUGUGGCUCCCGGGGAGCCCCCUGCGUGCCUUGUCCACUAAUAACUGCAACAACACCCAUGGACAGGGCUGUGGAAGCCGCCCCCAUGGGCUGGGGACACAACCUGGGGAGACCACCAGGAUGCCCAAGGCACAGCACGAUGGGAACGCAACACCUGGGGAGCCAGCACGGGCAACAAGCCGGAAGGGCAGUGGGGAUGCGGCAUCCUCAGGGCUGAAGCGGCUCCUAUGCAGCCUGAGCCAGAGCACCAGGCAGCGCCUGGGUCGCUUCCGCUGCUACAGCAUGGAGCAGCUGCCCGGCCCCGCACCCAACGGCCCCAGCGUGAAGCGGUCGCCCUCGCUGCAGGCACUGGUGUCACCGUUCCGCCAGCCCCAAAAAGCCGCUUCCAUACAGAGCCUGCACAGCCUGCUGGGCAGGGCGCCCCGAGCCAAUGCGUACCUGCUGUCCCAGCCUGGGGACGGGGACAGGAAGGCAGCCUCGGGGCCACGGCACUCGCUGAGCGUGGAGGACAUCGGUGCACCCGACCGGCCGCGCAUAGUGGGGCGUGUGGUGGAGGUGUUCCCCGAUGGCACCAGCCUGCUGGAGAUAGAACGGCCACCACACGGCUCCUUCGGCUUCCAGGUCACCUCUGGGCACGGCCGGCCCGACACAGGUGUCUACGUGCAGGAGAUGGCGGACGCGGGCACGGCCAAGCUGUACGCGGGGCUGCUGGGGGUGGGCGAUGAGAUCCUGCAGGUCAACGGGGCUGCUGUGUCGGGCCUGGGGCUGGCACGCAUCCGGGAGCUGCUGUUGCAGGCAGACAGCCUGGCCCUGCGUGUGCUAAGGCAGCGUCCGGCUCGGCGGUAGCGGCGCGGCUCCAGGAGGAGUGGAGCGGUCUGCAGGUGCUGCCGGAGUCCUGCAUGGAGCUGAAGUGCAACAAGGACUUCAACAAGACAAAGGGCCUGGAUCUGCCCUGCUUAUGUGCAAUGCACGGGUCCCUGCGGGGAUGGGGACGGCAGGGCACCCUGGCAGGCAACGUGGGACAAGGACCUGCCCCUGGCAUGGGGACAUCUCAGCUCUCCGGCCCUGGAUUCUCCCUGCCUCAGCUGGAAACCUCUGCCCACGAGCUGGUAAUGAACGUGCUGCGGGUGGCACUCGGGACGGGGAUGAUACCUGGGUGGGGCAGAGCAGAGCAGGUGGGGCUGGGGGGGGCUGCGGGUCCUUCACAGUGGUGGUCUCACAGCUUCU